Phyllopteryx taeniolatus (common seadragon) is the source of this 1030-nucleotide long non-coding RNA. RefSeq lists it as uncharacterized. The transcript has 2 exons. NCBI's taxonomy places the organism in Eukaryota, Metazoa, Chordata, Actinopteri, Syngnathiformes, Syngnathidae. The record is from RefSeq and is a predicted model, not a curated record.
AACAAAAAAACCAUCUAUUUUCGUAACAUGAGAAAGAUGAUGUAAUUUUCUCACUUCCCUUGUCGGCAAAGCUCCAAUUGUGUUUUCAUGGCGCAAAAUGGAAAAGAUGCACGCAAAGGAUACAUGUUGGUCGUCUACGAUCACGCAUUUAUUACCCUAAAGGCAGAAAAUGUGAUAAAGUGUUGGCUCUUAUUGCGUUGUACGCUUGUUCUGGUGAGUGCAAAGUAAUUUUCACCAAUUUGAUAUUGCCGUAAAGCCGCCACGGCCGAGUGCUAAGCGCUAAGCUAACAGUGAAGCUGUGGGUGUCGCUCCCUCGGCAGCUCACCCCAAGAGGCCUCCCAGCUGCUCUCCACGUCACACCUCGCCGCAAAGCUGUUUUUGGGAUCCUCUUUCGGGCUCGGUCGGUUGAACAGCGCGCCUCCAGUAGGCCACGUAGAAAAUUGACUAGAAAUGUAAAGUCAUAAUGAUGUCAGGCACCAAUGUAUGUAUUUUUCCUGUAUGCAGAACUGAACUCAUAUGGAAGCCGAAGAUUUUCCUCUUCCUUGCUCCUCAUUGGACGCUUCUACCACUUUUAUCAUGUAUGAUUAUGGAUCAAAGACAAGCAUGACCACAAGUGUGAAGUGAGGAGCACCUCAGUGUCACCGACGCCAACUACGCCGUCUCCCCUGAGGAGAGAAGACGCACGGGGGUGGCCAAACUUUUAAGACUGGGGGAGGGAAAUGUUAAAUGUGCAAAGAGAAAUGAAACACUUGAGCAAUGUGCAAGGCAGGUACCGACAGGACCGGCAUUAAAGCAGAGAGAGAGCGAGGGAGAGAGCAAGAGAGAGAGAGAGAGAUAGAGAGAGAGAGACAUGGGGGGGGGGGAAUAGUAGAAAGGAAGGGGCUCAUGAAAAUGGCUGAGAAAUUCAAGUCAAAUCUUUAUACUGUAUAUUUUAGAAUGUGACUCUUUCUCAUUGGCUACGCAAAAACAACUUUGUCUUAAUGCAAAUAAAAAUGGGAACGCCUCAUUGGGCCACUCGCACAAGUCCAAA